RNAcentral lists this ribosomal RNA (357 nucleotides) under Triticum aestivum (bread wheat). RNAcentral's name for it is "partial small subunit ribosomal RNA". The record is from RNAcentral. Lineage: Eukaryota; Viridiplantae; Streptophyta; Magnoliopsida; Poales; Poaceae.
AUGACUGGACGAAACAAAGAAAUAACCCCUUAUGUGCGAAAUUAUAGAAGAUCCCCUUUAAGAUCAAACAAUUCCAUCGAAUUGAGUAUGACUAUAUGUGAAACAGGUGGCACGAAAUGCUCAUUUAACGGAUGGAGUCAUACCACCGCCUUCUCCUGCAAACGAGCAAGUUCUAAGCUUUAUCGAUCUUCUCCGGCUCACGGAACUCUGGCACCUACUAAAGGGAAUAGAAAGAUCUUGGGCACAAAUACUCCACUUUUCACGAAAGACAUAGAUUCACCAAUGAUUGGUUGGACUAAAUACUACAUUUAUUUGCUCAGAAGAAGGAAAGUUGGUUGUGAGAAUGAUUUCUCGUAG